RNAcentral lists this unclassified non-coding RNA (194 nucleotides) under uncultured fungus. RNAcentral's name for it is "sequence contains ITS1". The record is from RNAcentral. Lineage: Eukaryota; Fungi.
GUAUCAAAUUGAAUUUUAAAAUAUUUCAGUCAAACAAUCAAGGGAUUUUAUUGUGUGGGGAUAAAGCCAAUAAAGGCUCCAUCACACAGAAAUAUAAAUGCACAUGGGUAUUGGAAGAUAGUAAAAAGUUCUGGUUUUUUUAAACCAGACUUUUUAUUUCUGUAAUGAUCCUUCCGCAGGUUCACCUACGGAAA